GGUUCCCUCUGAAGUUUCCCUCAGGAUAGCUCUUGCACGACCACCCACACAGUUUUAUCCAGUAAAGCGAAUGAUUAGAGAUCUUGGGGCUGAAACUAUCUCA
Molecule: microRNA precursor, 103 nt
Filed under: Sorex araneus (European shrew)
Lineage: Eukaryota; Metazoa; Chordata; Mammalia; Eulipotyphla; Soricidae
Description: miRNA (ENSSARG00000018504.1)
Rfam family: Eukaryotic large subunit ribosomal RNA
Source: RNAcentral